RNAcentral lists this ribosomal RNA (395 nucleotides) under uncultured bacterium. Its description in RNAcentral is "partial 16S ribosomal RNA". It matches the Rfam family "Bacterial small subunit ribosomal RNA", at positions 523 to 918 of the family's 1533-position model. The record is from RNAcentral.
AUACGUAGGGUGCAAGCGUUAAUCGGAAUUACUGGGCGUAAAGCGCGCGCAGGCGGUUUUGUAAGACAGAGGUGAAAUCCCCGGGCUCAAACUGGGAACUGCCUUUGUGACUGCAAGGCUAGAGUACGGCAGAGGGGGAUGGAAUUCCGCGUGUAGCAGUGAAAUGCGUAGAUAUGCGGAGGAACACCGAAGGCGAAGGCAAUCACCUGGGCCUGUACGGACGCUCAUGCACGAAAGCGUUGGGAGCAAACAGGAUUAGAUACCCGGGUAGUCCACGCCCUAAACGAUGUCAACUGGUUGUUGGGUCUUCAUUGACUCAGUAACGAAGCUAACGCGUGAAGUUGACCGCCUGGGGAGUACGGCCGCAAGGUUGAAACUCAAAGGAAUUGACGGGG